This 138-nucleotide small nucleolar RNA is filed under the name Ornithorhynchus anatinus (platypus). Lineage: Eukaryota; Metazoa; Chordata; Mammalia; Monotremata; Ornithorhynchidae. The record is from RNAcentral.
ACCCUCUCAGGGUCGCACCUGGAGAGUCUCCAGUACUCUAACAGUCUCGACUACAGGAGGGAGAGUCAAGCAGAGGCCUACCCACUCCAUUCCUAGCUUGGACAGUGGCUAGUGAGUGGAAGGCAAUCUGCUACCAGU